RNAcentral lists this transfer RNA (72 nucleotides) under Podarcis lilfordi (Lilford's wall lizard). RNAcentral's name for it is "tRNA.Gly". It matches the Rfam family "tRNA". From Rfam's summary of the family: Transfer RNA (tRNA) molecules are approximately 80 nucleotides in length. Their secondary structure includes four short double-helical elements and three loops (D, anti-codon, and T loops). Lineage: Eukaryota; Metazoa; Chordata; Lepidosauria; Squamata; Lacertidae. The record is from RNAcentral.
UCAUUGGUUGUUCAGUGAUAGAAUUCUCACCUGCCAGGCGGGAGACCCGGGUUCGAUUCCUGGCCAAUGUAA